GACAGAGGGUGCAAACGUUGUUCGGAAUUACUGGGCGUAAAGCGUGUGUAGGCGGUUUCGCAAGUCGGAUGUGAAAGCCCCGGGCUCAACCCGGGAAGUGCACUCGAUACUGCGGAACUUGAGUGUGGGAGAGGUUGGUGGAAUUCUCGGUGUAGAGGUGAAAUUCGUAGAUAUCGAGAGGAACACCGGCGGCGAAGGCGGCCAACUGGACCACUACUGACGCUGAGACACGAAAGCGUGGGGAGCAAACAGG
This 253-nucleotide ribosomal RNA is filed under the name uncultured bacterium. RNAcentral's name for it is "partial 16S ribosomal RNA". It matches the Rfam family "Bacterial small subunit ribosomal RNA", at positions 524 to 776 of the family's 1533-position model. The record is from RNAcentral.